CAGUUUCCUGGGCCUCUUGGUUAGUGGUUUGCUGCCGAGGGACGUGAAGUCAAGGCACAUACUGAGAUAAUAGUAAUAUAGACCGGGUCGUGACUAUUACUAUCACCAUUAUUCAAUUAUCCACUGUAAGGAUUCAGUGGGAUUGUGGUGAAAAUCUAAACAUGCAUGUCGGCGUGUUACCACGUGGCGGAAGGAGCCCACGUGUGCCCGCUGACUGCUGCUGGGGGACGCGACUGUUUACUAAAAGCGGGACUAGAGUUAUUACAAAUAAUGACCGUGCGAUAUGAUGGUGAAGAACUACUUUGAGUUAAGCAUUUAGCAGUGUUUCAACACUGCUAAAGAAUGCAACAAAAGCCAUCGUAUUCAAAUUUGAUGCCGAGUGCAGACGUGAAAGAUGGCCGCUACUGGUUCAAGACUCAUCAAGACUCCCUUGAUGGUGUCAUGUUACCGGCUGGACUGGACCAGGCUUGCUGCCCAAUGCAUCUAUUGAAGAUGGUUUGAAGCACGCAUCAUGUGACCGGCUUGAAGUGAACAUCUGGAUCAUUCUGAUGGAGCAGACUUCAUUACCCUCUGUUGAAGAUGGAUUGAGGCCCAUCGUGGGGAUGUGACCAGUAAGUCUGAGUCAAGUUAAUGAUGACAUAGAAAUGUGCUUAAGUGAUGAAUCACUUGACUAGAGUCUCUGACUAACUCAUGAAGCUAUUUCACAGUACGCUGACGAGCACAUUCUGCUUGUAUUAACUUGACUGGUUAAUUUGUUGAUGCUAACCAAUCGCAUCCUUGUCUUUC
Molecule: long non-coding RNA, 786 nt
Organism: Gadus macrocephalus (Pacific cod)
Lineage: Eukaryota; Metazoa; Chordata; Actinopteri; Gadiformes; Gadidae
Exons: 6
Source: RefSeq, a predicted model, not a curated record